This 77-nucleotide transfer RNA is filed under the name Pseudomonadota bacterium. Its description in RNAcentral is "tRNA-His". It matches the Rfam family "tRNA". Rfam says of the family: Transfer RNA (tRNA) molecules are approximately 80 nucleotides in length. Their secondary structure includes four short double-helical elements and three loops (D, anti-codon, and T loops). Further hydrogen bonds mediate the characteristic L-shaped molecular structure. tRNAs have two regions of fundamental functional importance: the anti-codon, which is responsible for specific mRNA codon recognition, and the 3' end, to which the tRNAs corresponding amino acid is attached (by aminoacyl-tRNA synthetases). tRNAs cope with the degeneracy of the genetic code in two manners: having more than one tRNA (with a specific anti-codon) for a particular amino acid; and 'wobble' base-pairing, i.e. permitting non-standard base-pairing at the 3rd anti-codon position. The record is from RNAcentral. RNAcentral also lists the same sequence under 1 other name. Lineage: Bacteria; Pseudomonadati; Pseudomonadota.
GCGGGCGUAGCUCAGCCGGUCAGAGCACCAGGUUGUGGUCCUGGGGGUCGUGGGUUCGAAUCCCACCGCUCGCCCCA